GAUGAACGCUGGCGGUCUGCUUAACACAUGCAAGUCGAACGAACUCUUCGGAGUGAGUGGCGGACGGGUGAGUAACGCGUGAGAAUCUGCCUGUGGGUCGGGGACAACCACUGGAAACGGUGGCUAAUACCGGAUGAGCCGAAAGGUAAAAGAUUUAUUGCCCACAGAUGAGCUCGCGUCUGAUUAGCUAGUUGGUAAGGUAAAAGCGUACCAAGGCGACGAUCAGUAGCUGGUCUGAGAGGAUGAGCAGCCACACUGGGACUGAGACACGGUCCAGACUCCUACGGGAGGCAGCAGUGGGGAAUAUUGCACAAUGGGCGAAAGCCUGAUGCAGCGACGCCGCGUGAACGAUGAAGGCUUUCGAGUCGUAAAGUUCUGUUCUUGGGGAAGAUAACGACGGUACCCCAAGGAGAAAGCACCGGCUAAAAUACGUGCCAGCCGCCGCGGUAAU
Molecule: ribosomal RNA, 451 nt
Filed under: uncultured bacterium
Lineage: Bacteria
Description: bacterial SSU rRNA
Rfam family: Bacterial small subunit ribosomal RNA
Source: RNAcentral